Molecule: ribosomal RNA, 256 nt
Filed under: uncultured bacterium
Lineage: Bacteria
Description: partial 16S ribosomal RNA
Rfam family: Bacterial small subunit ribosomal RNA
Source: RNAcentral
UACGUAGGGUGCGAGCGUUAAUCGGAAUUACUGGGCGUAAAGCGUGCGCAGGCGGUUAUGUAAGACAGGUGUGAAAUCCCCGGGCUUAACCUGGGAACUGCAUUUGUGACUGCAUAGCUAGAGUACGGUAGAGGGGGGUGGAAUUCCACGUGCAGGCAGUGAAAUGCGUAGAUAUGAUGGAGGAACACCGAUGGCGGAAGGCAGCCCCCUGGGCUAGUACUAACGCCUCAUGCACGAAAGCGUGGGGAGCAACAGG